AUGAGCACAUGUGAACACACGAUGACGAUAAGUCCUGCUUUAAAACAUCUGAAGAAACUGCAGAGCAAUGGCCUCAUUCUGCUAUGGCCAAGGCCGCCUUCAAGACCACCUAUCAGAGUCAAUCCAGAUGCCAGUUGCCCUCUGGAAGGAUGUUCCCACUGAUGGUGAAUUUAGCUCAACCAAUGGAAGCCUCUAGAAAGCUAGCAUCUGGAGAACUGAGCUAGAAUCUGUAUUUGUAGAUUUUAAAUUAAUUGUGGUCUGCCACUAACUCAUCGUUUACCUGUUUACCUAUUUAUCUUGGGCUUUGUAGAGGGAACAGAUUCAUCUGUUUAGAUCUUUGUAUCCCCUUUUGUCCACAUGGUUCAAAAUCUUAAAAUACAAAAAAGGUAUACGCAACACAAAUGAAGAUAUCUACAAAACAGAAACAAACUCACAGACGUAGAGAACAGGCUUGUGGUUGCCAAGGGGACGGCGGGUGUGGGAGGAAAGGACUGGAAGUUUGGGAUUAGCAGAUGCAAGCUAUCAUACAUAGGAUGGAUAAACAACUACAUGCUCCUGUAUAGUACAGGGAACUAUAUUCAAUAUACUAUAAUAAGACAUAAUAGAAAAAAAUAUUUGUGUAUAACUGAGUCACUUUGCUAUACAGCAGAAAUUAACAUAAUAUUAAAUAAGUCAACUGUAUUUCAGUAAAAUUAUUUUUAAAAGGCAUACAAGAAAGGCCUCCCUAAAAAAAAUUUAAAAAAAUUCAAAAAAAAAAGGCCUCCCUGGUGGUUCAGUGGUAAAGAAACUGCCUGCAACACUGGAAUCCCUGGGUCAAGAGAAUCCCCUGGAGCAGGAAAUGGCCACCCACUCCAGUAUUCUUGCCUGGGAAAUCCCAUGGACAGAGGGGAUUGGCAGGCUACAGUUCAUGGGGUUGCAAAGAGUUGGACACAACUAGUGUCUAAACAACCCACCAGCACAUACAACGAAAAGGCACCCUGACGCUUUGUUGCCCAGGUACCCC
This 1003-nucleotide long non-coding RNA is filed under the name Cervus hanglu yarkandensis (Yarkand deer). RNAcentral describes it as "lncRNA (ENSCHYG00000021873.1)". The record is from RNAcentral. Lineage: Eukaryota; Metazoa; Chordata; Mammalia; Artiodactyla; Cervidae.